UAGCGGCAGACGGGUGAGUAAUAUUUGGGCAAUCUGCCCUUGAGUGGGGGACAACCUGCCGAAAGGCGGGCUAAUACCCCAUAAGACCACAGGGAUGCAUAUCCAAGGGGUCAAAGCUCCGCAAGGGGCGCUUAAGGAGGAGCCCGAAUCCUAUCAUGGUAGUUGGCGGGGUAAUGGCCCACCAAGCCGUUGACGGGUAGCCGGCCUGAAAGGGCAACCGGCCACACUGGCACUGAGACACGGGCCAGACUCCUACGGGAGGCAGCAGUGGGGAAUUUUGGACAAUGGGGGCAACCCUGAUCCAGCGACGCCGCGUGAAGGAUGAAGGUCUUCGGAUUGUAAACUUCUUUUAGAGGGGAUGAAUGCCUUGGUGAAUAGCCAAGGGUGACAGUACUCUCUGAAUAAGCCACGGCUAACUACGUGCCAGCAGCCGCGGUAAUACGUAGGUGGCAAGCGUUACUCGGAAUCACUAGGCGUAAAGCGCAGGUAGGAGGUUUGGUAAGUCUGUUGUGAAAGCUCCCGGCUUAACUGGGAGAGGUCAACGGAAACUACUAGGCUAGAGUGCGGUAGAGGAAGGUGGAAUUCCCGGUGUAGCGGUGAAAUGCGUAGAUAUCGGGAGGAAUACCUAUGGCGAAAGCAGCCUUCUGGACCGUCAC
RNAcentral lists this ribosomal RNA (656 nucleotides) under uncultured bacterium. RNAcentral's name for it is "bacterial SSU rRNA". It matches the Rfam family "Bacterial small subunit ribosomal RNA", at positions 93 to 740 of the family's 1533-position model. The record is from RNAcentral.